CCUACGGGAUGCAGCAGUGAGGAAUAUUGGUCAAUGGACGCAAGUCUGAACCAGCCAUGCCGCGUGCAGGAAGACGGCUCUAUGAGUUGUAAACUGCUUUUGUACGAGGGUAAACGCUGAUACGCGUCUCUGUCUGAAAGUAUCGUACGAAUAAGGAUCGGCUAACUCCGUGCCAGCAGCCGCGGUAAUACGGAGGGUUCAAGCGUUAUCCGGAUUUAUUGGGUUUAAAGGGUGCGUAGGCGGUCGGUUAAGUUAGAGGUGAAAUCCCGAGGCUCAACUUCGGAAUUGCCUUUGAUACUGUUCGGCUAGAGAGUAGGUGCGGUAGGCGGAAUGUAUGGUGUAGCGGUGAAAUGCUUAGAGAUCAUACAGAACACCGAUUGCGAAGGCAGCUUACCAGGCUACUACUGACGUUGAGGCACGAAAGCGUGGGGAGCGAACAGGAUUAGAUACCCGUGUAGUC
This 460-nucleotide ribosomal RNA is filed under the name uncultured bacterium. RNAcentral's name for it is "partial 16S ribosomal RNA". It matches the Rfam family "Bacterial small subunit ribosomal RNA", at positions 338 to 795 of the family's 1533-position model. The record is from RNAcentral.